Molecule: non-coding RNA, 183 nt
Filed under: Klebsiella pneumoniae
Lineage: Bacteria; Pseudomonadati; Pseudomonadota; Gammaproteobacteria; Enterobacterales; Enterobacteriaceae
Description: 6S RNA
Rfam family: 6S / SsrS RNA
About the family: E. coli 6S RNA was the first non coding RNA to be sequenced, but its function was unknown until recently. It consists of 184 nucleotides that fold into an extended hairpin structure with a large single-stranded internal bulge. The 6S RNA specifically associates with RNA polymerase holoenzyme containing the sigma70 specificity factor.
Source: RNAcentral
AUUUCUCUGAGAUGUUUGCAAGCGGGCCAGUCCCCUGAGCCGAUAUUUCAUACCACAAGAAUGUGGCGCUCCACGGUUGGUGAGCAUGCUCGGUUCGUCCGAGAAGCCUUAAAACCGUGACGACACAUUCACCUUGAACCAAGGGUUCAGGGUUACAGCCUGCGGCGGCAUCUCGGAGAUUCC